ACGUAGGGUCCAAGCGUUAUCCGGAAUCACUGGGCGUAAAGCGUGCGUAGGCGGCGCGUUAAGUGCAAUGCGAAAUCCUGUGGCUCAACCAUAUGGACUGUAUUGCAUACUGACGUGCUUGAGGACGGCAGAGGCAAGUGGAAUUGCGGGUGUAGCAGUGAAAUGCGUAGAUAUCCGCAGGAACACCAAUGGCGAAGGCAGCUUGCUGGGCCGUAUCUGACGCUGAGGCACGAAAGCGUGGGGAGCGAACAGGA
RNAcentral lists this ribosomal RNA (254 nucleotides) under uncultured prokaryote. Its description in RNAcentral is "partial 16S ribosomal RNA". It matches the Rfam family "Bacterial small subunit ribosomal RNA", at positions 525 to 777 of the family's 1533-position model. The record is from RNAcentral.